Molecule: non-coding RNA, 1168 nt
Filed under: Ricinus communis (castor bean)
Lineage: Eukaryota; Viridiplantae; Streptophyta; Magnoliopsida; Malpighiales; Euphorbiaceae
Description: Eukaryotic small subunit ribosomal RNA
Rfam family: Eukaryotic small subunit ribosomal RNA
Source: Rfam by way of RNAcentral
UACAUGAGAUGCUUGUAGAAAAGUCUAGAUGAAUUAAUCCUAGUCACAUGUUAAGGAGGUGAAAGCCUAUAUAAAGGCCACCUCACAUACUUGUAAAGAGGGUUGGGAAAAUAAACAAAAGCUCUCCAUACUUUCAAGCUAUAUAGGCUUACUUAGUUUGACUUUGAUAAGGAAGUUAAAUAAGUGUCGUGCGACUUGGCUAACCUCUAAGCCUAAGUUCGUGACACUCGCUCUGUAUACAUUAGCAUUGGAUAACAUCAUAGGAUUUCGGUCCUAUUCUGUUGGCCUUUGGGAUCGGAGUAAUGAUUAACAGGGACAGUGGGGGGCAUUUGUAUUUCAUAGUGAGAGGUGAAAUUCUUGGAUUUAUGAAAGAUGAACAACUGCAAAAGCAUUUGCCAAGGAUGUUUUCAUUAAUCAAGAACGAAAGUUGGGGGCUCGAAGACGAUCAGAUACCGUCCUAGUCUCAACCAUAAAUGAUGCCGACUAAGGAUCGUCGGAUGUCGCUUUUAGGACUCCGCUGACACCUUAUAAGAAAUCAAAGUCUUUGGGUUUCGGGGCACCACCAGGAGUGGAGCCUGCGGCUUAAUUUGACUCAACAUGGGGAAACUUACCAGGUCCAGACAUAGUAAGGAUUGACAGACUGAGAGCUCUUUCUUGAUUCUCUGGGUGGUGGUGCAUGGCCGUUCUUAGUUGGUGGAGCAAUUUUUUUGGUUAAUUUCGUUAACAAACGAGACCUCAGCCUGCUAACUAGCUAUGCAAAGGUAUCCCUCUGCGGCUAGCUUCUUAGAGGGACUAUGGCCUUCUAGGCCAAGGAAGUUUGAGGCAAUAACAGGUCUAUGAUGCCCUUAGAUGUUCUGGGCUGCACGCGCGCUACACUGAUGUAUUCAAUGAGUCUAUAGCCUUGGCCGAAAGGCCCAGGUAAUCUUUGAAAUUUCAUCGUGAUGGGGACAGACCAUUGCAAUUGUUGGUCUUCAAUGAGGAAUUCCUAGUAAGCGCGAGUCAUUAGCUCGUGUUGACUACGUCCUUGCCCUUUGUACACACCGCCCGUCACGGUGACAUGGGCAGUUCGACGCCGAUGACGUCGCGAGAAGUCCACUGAACCUUAUCAUUUAUAGGAAGGAGAAGUCGUAACAAGGUUUCCGUAGGUGAACCUGUGAAAGGAUCAUUG